This 4040-nucleotide long non-coding RNA is filed under the name Sus scrofa (pig). RNAcentral describes it as "lncRNA (ENSSSCG00000062947.1)". Lineage: Eukaryota; Metazoa; Chordata; Mammalia; Artiodactyla; Suidae. The record is from RNAcentral.
AAUAAUGAUUUUUUAUAAAGAACUUUAUCAGGUUAAAAUGAAACGAUAAUUUUUGAACAAGAAAUGUCAAUAUAGUCCUCUGCCAAUGAGGGGGUGUAAAACUUUAGCAAACAUUAUAUUAAAUAUUUAAACUUUGGAAACAUUUUGAUACUGGCAAAGAACAAAAUAAUGAUACUCAUCAUCAUUAAUGUGCAACUUUCAGCCAGUGUGGGUAAAUCAGUGUAAACCUUGGAAAAAGGAGGAUGAAACAUAAUUAUUUGCAGAUGAUAAAAUAUUCCUUUCUUUAGAAAAUUCAAAAUACACAUCAAAAAAACCCAAUUAUUAGAAUAUAAAAAUGAUGAAACAUGACCAGAAAACACAUCAACAUAUAACAAAGUCUUUCCAAUGAGUCAAGAGUAACAAAUUAGAAAAUCUAGUGAAGAGUCUCAAUUCACCAAGCAGUUUAACCAUUAAGAUUCAAAUGAUACCAAACCCUUCCAUGUAAUAUCUACAUGCUACAAACGAUAAAAACUUAACUAAUAAACAUCAAAGUUAUGAACAAAUUGAGAUUAAAAACAAUGUCCUUGGAUAAAAAGACACAAUUUUAAAGAUACUACCUAAUUAGACUCAAUAAGAAGCUAGUGGGAAUGGAAUAAUUGGUCAAGGCUAAUUGCAAUUCUAGGCCUUCAGCAAUUUUUGUUUGGUGAGGUCAUUACAGGGGUUUUCUUCAACAAGAAAAAAGUCAUAUAAUAACCAGAAUGAAAUAUAUUUGAUCUCAGACUAGAACACUGAAAUAAAUACCAAAGGGAAAAAAAUAAUGGAUAAGUAUUAAUCCUUACUUUGUCAAAAACAAUAAGCAUAUAUAUUUUUUUUAGGGUCACACCCAUGGCAUAUAGAAAUUCCCAGGCUAGGAGUUGAAUCAGAUCUGUAGCUGCUGGCCUACACCAUAGACACAGCAACACCAGAUCCAAGACAUCAUGGCAAUGUCACAUCCUUAACCCACUGAGUGAGGCCAGGGAUCAAACCUGCUUCUUCACGGAUACUAAUUGAGUUUGUUACCACUGAGCCACAAUGGAAACUCCCAAUAAGCAUAAUUUUUAAAAAGAAACUAUAGAUCAAGCUUUCCAACAGUCAAAGUAAUGGAAUGUUUAGAUACAACCUGACAAAUAUUUGUCCAAGUUGAUACAGUUGCAAUUUGUCCUGUGCACAAGUGUGCUUCCUGGAAAUUUAGAUAACUGGAUUUCAUGGACUAAAACGAGAAGAUUUUUUUAAUUCCAAGGCAGCACAGAUUUGUUGAUUUGUAUCUAAUAAAGCUUAUGUAACUGCUUAUAUGUGUAAUUAUUUAUUUUUCAAAUUCCUUCAAUCAAUUUCAAAUACCUAUAAAAAACUUGAUUCAGUUAGUUCAGACUCUUAUGGAAAAUUUAUGGAACUUUUUAAAAAACUAUGAGUAAACUUUAAGCAGAGUCCUUUACUAUAAGAUUUCUUAAGUUUUAGUAAUUUAGGGAAAUAAGUUUUAGUAAUUUAAUAUACAUUAUAAAUAUAUAAAAAGAAUACAAUAGGUUGCCUUUUUCCCAAAUAUCUAAGUCACAGAAACUAUUUUUAACAGGAAUUAUUUCAAAAUUACUGUUUCAUAAUUGGUAACAUAAUUUUUGAAAAACGUUUUCUUCUUAAGAUAAUUGGUUGACAUGGGAGGAAUAGAUCAAUUUAGACAAAACACUGUCAACAUGCUAGAUUAUCACUACCUGUUCUAUGGGAAAUUUAAUGGGAAUCAGUCUCUGAGUUCAGACCCGGGCAUGAUUUAAAGGUGGCUCAGCAAUAUUUCACCAUAGGUCAACAGCAAAGCAAAAUUCAGGAAUGAAGAAAAUGUACACAGAAGGAAAUCAAUGUAAUCUUCCCAUUAUACACAAACUCACACCAUUAACUAACAGUCUCCUCUGUGACCUGAUGUACAUGCUUACAACAUGAAGAGGGUACUCGAGAGAGCAGUGAAAUGGAUUAAAAGCUUUGACGACAAGGUUUAUCUAAGAAAGGUUACAAGAAUGAUUUGGCCUCAGAUGAGAUUUCAGAGAAGCGUGAUAGCAGAUUUUAAGGAUAUGUAGGAAUAUUAUUGUUCACCUGCUGGUGGCCAUUUCUGUUGAAAUGAAGGAAAAAGGAACAAAAGUCUAAGCGUACAAGAAGAAUUUAAUUUAAAUCUGAAUGAUGACUACUCAUGAAAUGUAUUUCUCUAAGUUAUAUCAGAAUAAUGUAUAUUAUAUCUAAAUUGUUUAGGUUGAUACUGUCAUGAAGUAAAGGGAUAGAGUUAAUGAUCUUGGAGGUCACAAAUUCUGAAAAUAAUGUAUUAUUAUGUGUGUGUACAUGUCUGUUGAUAAAUAUAUCAUCUAAAUAUUGCAUAGACACUAGUUAUUUAUUGGGAGAUUAAUUUAACCCAGAAUAAUUAUUCUAAAUGUUUAAUAUAAUGGAUAUUAUAAUUAAAAAUUAAACUUAGUUCUUGAUACUAGGAGGUCAAUUCCUAAAAUGUAUUUUAGGUUGUUAUUUCCCUAAAGGCAAAAAGAAAGGGAAAGAGUCUUCAUUUCUCCUGAAGAAAUUAUGUCCAUUGUCAGUGACUGCCCGAAGAGAGUAAGCAUGCCUGACUUUUAGUUUCUUUUCCAUUGUAUUAUCUAGCUCGAAUGGUGCUUUAAAUACAUAAUUUCUUAUUAGGUUAAAAUCCUUUUGAAUCAUUUUGAGAUCUUAAAUAAUUAUAGUUCAGGAGCUCUGUCAUGGCGCAGUGGCUAAUAGACCUGACUAGUAUCCAUGAGGACGUGGCUUUGCUCAGUAGGUUAAGGAUCCAGUGUUGCUGUGAGCUCUGGGGUAGGUCACAGGUCACAGGCGCUCGGCUUGGAUCCAGCGUUUCUGUGGCUGUGGCAAAGGCUGGCAGCUACAGCUCCGAUUCGACCCCUAGCCAGGAAACCGCCAUAUGCCGCAGGUGUGACCCUAAAAAAGCCAAAAGCUAAAAUAAUAAUAAUAAUAAUUAUAGUUCAAGGCCUUAUUUUAUUUUAAACAAUGUUUAUGCAUAUUACAUCUUCAGCAGAAUCAUUCACAGUAAACUAGUUAUGAAGACAACUCAAAUUUUAAAAAAACUUUAAAAGCAUCAUUUUAUCACACUUUAAAAGGUUGUACCCUCCUUCCCCUCCACCCCUACGGUGAAGGUAUGAAGACACCAAUGUAUGACAUUUUUGCAAUCCUAAAAUUUUUGAGUGCCUUUCUACUUUACCUUAAAACUGAACCCCAUGUGUUUCAACCACUAAGUAAGAAACGUGUGAGGAAAUUCAUCCCAUUGUUGAAGAUAUAAGACAAUCAGUGUAAUGAUUUUUGAGAAAGAAGAGAGCUAGGGGUUUACAUCUCACUUCUGUAAAGAAUGAGAUAACAGAAGACUUUCCUGCUGGAUGAGCACCCUACAGGUACCACAGGGGGCUGGAGCACAUGAGUUGGGCUAAGUUCAUCACAUAAAAAGGGGAAUCUGUCUUAAUUUGUACUUUUCCCCCCAGGCUUCAAAUCCGUUUUAAAAAUGGACUGAAGCAAUAACUAAAGGGAUGUGCACCCCCAAUAAAAUCACAAUUUUGAAUGGCAGCCUUGCUACUUGGAGAAAAUUCGUCAUAAUUCAAUUGUUUCUAUUGAGAGGAAACAAAUGUAAACUCAGCUACCUGGACCUAGCCAUUGAACUUAGAUAAUUAUUUCCCAAAUAGAAAAGAACAUCCUGUUUUUCUUUGGCAUGCUCUGGUGUCUGUUAGCUUUGCUUUUUAUAGAUUUAAUUGAAAUUUCAUAAUCACAGAGUUCAAACACAGAACAGAUUUGAGUCAGUACUCUGGAACAAUAUCAUUCCCUUAGAGUUCUCCCUGCUGAGAAGGAAAAAAAUUAUAUUCCAAUGCUUUUAUUAGACUUUGUGCUUCUCCUGAUUCUCAGUAUAAGACUCUGUGCUCUAAGGAUACAUGCUAUUAAAGAAAAGCCUGAGGCAAAACUCAAAAGGGGAGUGAGGCAGGUGAGCUCACCUAGAUUAUGGGUUCAGCAAGUUUACUGGAGAAUUG